CGAGUCAUUGUAGCAUACAAGGCAUACGGCUCAGUAACGCGUAGUCCACCUAACCUAUGGACGGGAAUAACCUCGGGAAACUGAGAAUAAUGCCCGAUAGAACAUUAUGCCUGGAAUGGUUUAUGUUCCAAAUGAUUUAUCGCCGUAGGAUGGGACUGCGGCCUAUCAGUUUGUUGGUGAGGUAAUGGCCCACCAAGACUAUUACAGGUACGGGCUCUGAGAGGAGUAGCCCGGAGAUGGGUACUGAGACACGGACCCAGGCCCUAUGGGGCGCAGCAGGCGAGAAAACUUUGCAAUGUGCGAAAGCACGACAAGGUUAAUCCGAGUGGUUUCUGCUAAAGAAACCUUUUGUCAGUCCUAGAAACACUGAUGAAUAAGGGGUGGGCAAGUUCUGGUGUCAGCCGCCGCGGUAAAACCAGCACCUCAAGUGGUCAGGAUGAUUAUUGGGCCUAAAGCAUCCGUAGCCGGCUCUGUAAGUUUUCGGUUAAAUCUGUACGCUCAACGUACAGGCUGCCGGGAAUACUGCAGAGCUAGGGAGUGGGAGAGGUAGACGGUACUCGGUAGGAAGGGGUAAAAUCCUUUGAUCUAUUGAUGACCACCUGUGGCGAAGGCGGUCUACCAGAACACGUCCGACGGUGAGGGAUGAAAGCUGGGGGAGCAAACCGGAUUAGAUACCCGGGUAGUCCCAGCUGUAAACUAUGCAAACUCAGUGAUGCAUUGGCUUGUGGCCAAUGCAGUGCUGCAGGGAAGCCGUUAAGUUUGCCGCCUGGGAAGUACGUACGCAAGUAUGAAACUCAAAGGAAUUGACGG
Molecule: ribosomal RNA, 810 nt
Filed under: uncultured crenarchaeote
Lineage: Archaea; Thermoproteati; Thermoproteota
Description: bacterial SSU rRNA
Rfam family: Archaeal small subunit ribosomal RNA
Source: RNAcentral